UACGUAGGGGGCAAGCGUUGUCCGGAUUUAUUGGGCGUAAAGAGCGUGUAGGCGGCCAGAUAGGUCCGUUGUGAAAACUCGAGGCUCAACCUCGAGACGCCGAUGGAAACCAUUUGGCUAGAGUCCGGAAGAGGAGAGUGGAAUUCCUGGUGUAGCGGUGAAAUGCGCAGAUAUCAGGAGGAACACCGGUGGCGAAGGCGGGUCUCUGGGCAACAACUGACGCUGAGGAGCGAAAGCGUGGGGAGCGAACAGG
This 253-nucleotide ribosomal RNA is filed under the name uncultured bacterium. Its description in RNAcentral is "partial 16S ribosomal RNA". It matches the Rfam family "Bacterial small subunit ribosomal RNA", at positions 524 to 776 of the family's 1533-position model. The record is from RNAcentral.